GGCAGUAGAGUCCACAGUGAGAGGUCAGCAGGGGCAGUAGAGUCCACAGAGAGGUCAACAGGGGCAGUAGAGUCCACAGAGAGAGUUCAGCAGGGGAAGUAGAGUCCACAGAGAGAGGUCAGCAGGGGCAGUAGAGUCCACUGAGAGGUCAACAGGGGCUGUAGAGUCCACAGAGAGAGUUCAGCAGGGGAAAUAGAAUCCACAGUGAGAGGUCAGCAGGGCAGUAGAGUCCACAGAGAGAGGUCAGCAGGGGCAGUAGAGUCAACAGAGAGAGGUCAGCAGGGGCAGUAUAGUCCACAGUGAGAGGUCAGCAGGGGCAGCAGAGUCCACAGAGAGAGGUCAGCAGGGGCAGUAGAGUCCACAGAGAAAGGUCAGCAGGGGUAGUAGAGUCCACAGAGAGAGAUCAGCAGGGGCAGUAGAGUCCACAGAGAGAGGUCAGCAGGGGCAGUAGAGUCCACAGCGAGAGGUCAGCAGGGGCAGUAGAGUCAACAGAGAGAGGUCAGCAGGGGCAGUAGAGUCCACAGAGAGGUCAGCAGGGGCAGUAGAGUCCACAGAGAGAGGUCAGCAGGGGCAGUAUAGUCCACAGUGAGAGGUCAGCAGGGGCAGUAGAGUCCACUGAGAG
Oncorhynchus tshawytscha (Chinook salmon) is the source of this 622-nucleotide long non-coding RNA. Lineage: Eukaryota; Metazoa; Chordata; Actinopteri; Salmoniformes; Salmonidae. The record is from Ensembl.